Molecule: ribosomal RNA, 680 nt
Filed under: uncultured archaeon
Lineage: Archaea
Description: bacterial SSU rRNA
Rfam family: Archaeal small subunit ribosomal RNA
Source: RNAcentral
AGGAUGCUGGAAUGCACUUAGUCUGAAAACUCCGGUGCCUAAGGAUGAAUCUGCGGACUAUCAGGUUGUAGUCAGGGUAAUGACCUGACUAGCCUAUGACGGAUAUGGGUUGUGGGAGCAAUAACCCAGAGAUGAUAUCUGAGACACGAUAUCAGGCCCUACGGGGCGCAGCAGGCGCGAAAACUUCGCAAUGUGCGAAAGCACGACGAGGGAAUCCCAAGUGCUUGCACGUAAGUGUAAGCUGUUUCUCUGUUUAAAACGCAGAGAGAGUAAGGGCUGGGUAAGACGGGUGCCAGCCGCCGCGGUAAUACCUGCAGCUCAAGUGGUGGCCGUUAUUAUUGGGCCUAAAACGUCCGUAGCCGGUUUAUUAAAUGCCUGGGUAAAUCGGACCGCUUAACGGUUCGAAUUCCGGGUAGACUGAUAAACUUGAGACCGGGAGAAGUUAGAGGUACUCCUGGGGUAGAGGUGAAAUUCUGUAAUCCUAGGGGGACCACCAGUGGCGAAAGCGUCUAACUAGAACGGGUCUGACGGUGAGGGACGAAGCCCUGGGGCGCAAACGGGAUUAGAUACCCCGGUAGUCCAGGGUGUAAACGCUGCUUGCUUGAUGUUAGUCGGGCUCCGAGCCCGAUUAGUGUCGGAGAGAAGUUGUUAAGCAAGCUGCCUGGGAAGUACGGUCGCAA